This 484-nucleotide ribosomal RNA is filed under the name uncultured bacterium. RNAcentral describes it as "partial 16S ribosomal RNA". It matches the Rfam family "Bacterial small subunit ribosomal RNA", at positions 29 to 507 of the family's 1533-position model. The record is from RNAcentral.
AUUGAACGCUGGCGGCAUGCUUUACACAUGCAAGUCGAACGGCAGCGCGGGCUUCGGCCUGGCGGCGAGUGGCGAACGGGUGAGUAAUACAUCGGAACGUGCCCAGUAGUGGGGGAUAGCUCGGCGAAAGCCGGAUUAAUACCGCAUACGACCUGAGGGUGAAAGGGGGGGAUCUUCGGACCUCGCGCUAUUUGAGCGGCCGAUGGCAGAUUAGCUAGUUGGUGGGGUAAAGGCCUACCAAGGCGACGAUCUGUAGCUGGUCUGAGAGGACGACCAGCCACACUGGGACUGAGACACGGCCCAGACUCCUACGGGAGGCAGCAGUGGGGAAUUUUGGACAAUGGGCGAAAGCCUGAUCCAGCAAUGCCGCGUGUGUGAUGAAGGCCUUCGGGUUGUAAAGCACUUUUGGCGGGAACGAAAAGGACUGUGCCAAUACCACGGUUCGAUGACGGUACCCGCAGAAUAAGCACCGGCUAACUACGUG